GUGUCGGUUGCGGCGACGUGGGCGGUUCGCUGCCCGCGACGUUGUGAGAAGUCCACUGAACCUUAUCAUUUAGAGGAAGGAGAAGUCGUAACAAGGUUUCCGUAGGUGAACCUGCGGAAGGAUCAUUG
Molecule: ribosomal RNA, 128 nt
Filed under: Lonchocarpus magallanesii
Lineage: Eukaryota; Viridiplantae; Streptophyta; Magnoliopsida; Fabales; Fabaceae
Description: partial 18S ribosomal RNA
Rfam family: Eukaryotic small subunit ribosomal RNA
Source: RNAcentral